This 287-nucleotide ribosomal RNA is filed under the name uncultured bacterium. Its description in RNAcentral is "partial 16S ribosomal RNA". The record is from RNAcentral.
CUGCUGCCUCCCGUAGGAGUUUGGGCCGUGUCUCAGUCCCAAUGUGGCCGUCCGCCCUCUCAGGCCGGCUACUGAUCGUCGCCUUGGUGGGCCGUUACCCCGCCAACCAGCUAAUCAGACGCGGGUCCAUCCCGUACCACCGGAGUUUUCAAGAAAGAAACAUGCGUCCCCUUCUGUUAUGCGGUAUUAGCACCUGUUUCCAGGUGUUAUCCCCCGGUACGGGGCAGGUUCCCCACGCGUUACUCACCCGUCCGCCACUAAGGCCCGCGCCUUCCGGGUCUGGUAAA